RNAcentral lists this transfer RNA (72 nucleotides) under Bos taurus (domestic cattle). It matches the Rfam family "tRNA". Rfam says of the family: Transfer RNA (tRNA) molecules are approximately 80 nucleotides in length. Their secondary structure includes four short double-helical elements and three loops (D, anti-codon, and T loops). Further hydrogen bonds mediate the characteristic L-shaped molecular structure. tRNAs have two regions of fundamental functional importance: the anti-codon, which is responsible for specific mRNA codon recognition, and the 3' end, to which the tRNAs corresponding amino acid is attached (by aminoacyl-tRNA synthetases). tRNAs cope with the degeneracy of the genetic code in two manners: having more than one tRNA (with a specific anti-codon) for a particular amino acid; and 'wobble' base-pairing, i.e. permitting non-standard base-pairing at the 3rd anti-codon position. The record is from Rfam by way of RNAcentral. Lineage: Eukaryota; Metazoa; Chordata; Mammalia; Artiodactyla; Bovidae. RNAcentral also lists the same sequence under 5 other names.
UCCCUGGUAGCUCAAUCAGUAAAGAAUCUGCCUACAGUGCAGGAGAUCUAGGUUCGAUCCCUGGAUCGGGAA